GUUGACCUCGGAUCAGGUAGGGAUACCCGCUGACUAAC
RNAcentral lists this ribosomal RNA (38 nucleotides) under Hirsutella rhossiliensis. RNAcentral's name for it is "partial 28S ribosomal RNA". Lineage: Eukaryota; Fungi; Ascomycota; Sordariomycetes; Hypocreales; Ophiocordycipitaceae. The record is from RNAcentral.